Molecule: ribosomal RNA, 417 nt
Filed under: Triticum aestivum (bread wheat)
Lineage: Eukaryota; Viridiplantae; Streptophyta; Magnoliopsida; Poales; Poaceae
Description: partial small subunit ribosomal RNA
Source: RNAcentral
AUGCGUAAGAAUUGGAAGGUGUGGGAGGCCCUCAAGAACAACGCAUGGAUCCUCAAGAUCAAUCCAUCCACCUCUAUCUCCGACGAGGAUGUCACGCAAUUCUUCACACUUUGGAUACUCCUUGAUGAGGUCCAUCUUGACGAACUCUCCGAGGAUGACAUCCUUUGGAAGCACUCGGUCUCGGGGCAUUACUCAGCAGCCUCCGCAUAUAAGGCACAAUUUUUAGGAUUGGUUCUCUCCCCCAUGGACAAGAUGGUUUGGAAAGUUUGGGCUCCACCAAAAGUCAAGUUAUUUGCUUGGUUGGCUCUCCAAGACAGGAUUUGGACCGCGGAUAGAUUGGCAAAGCAUGGGUGGCCAAACUAUGAUCUUUGCCCCCUUUGCAAGAGGGAACAAGAGAGUGGGAGUCACCUAUUGUAA